CUACGGGUUGCUGCAGUGGGGAAUCAUGGACAAUGGGCGCAAGCCUGAUCCAGCCAUGCCGCGUGAGUGAAGAAGGCCUUAGGGUCGUAAAGCUCUUCCGCCAGAGAUGAUAAUGACAGUAUCUGGUAAAGAAACCCCGGCUAACUCCGUGCCAGCAGCCGCGGUAAUACGGAGGGGGGUAGCGUUGUUCGGAAUUACUGGGCGUAAAGCGCGCGUAGGCGGAUUAGUCAGUCAGAGGUGAAAUCCCAGGGCUCAACCCUGGAACUGCCUUUGAUACUGCUAGUCUUGAGUUCGAGAGAGGUGAGUGGAAUUCCGAGUGUAGAGGUGAAAUUCGUAGAUAUUCGGAGGAACACCAGUGGCGAAGGCGGCUCACUGGCUCGAUACUGACGCUGAGGUGCGAAAGUGUGGGGAGCAAACAGGAUUAGAUACCCCAGUAGUC
Molecule: ribosomal RNA, 439 nt
Filed under: uncultured bacterium
Lineage: Bacteria
Description: partial 16S ribosomal RNA
Rfam family: Bacterial small subunit ribosomal RNA
Source: RNAcentral